GCUUUACUGUAACUUGAAAUUGGUUUCGGGUUUUAUUUGCGCAGUAUAGGUGGGAGGCUAAGAUAAUAAAUUUGCGGAUUUGUUGGAGCCAUUAGUGAGAUACCACUCUAAUAAAACUAGAAUUCUAACCUUGCAAGCCGUUACCCGGCCAAGGAACAGUUUCAGGCGGGCAGUUUGACUGGGGCGGUCGCCUCCUAAAAAGUAACGGAGGCGCGCAAAGGUUCCUUCAGGCUGGUUGGAAAUCAGUCGUAGAGUGCAAAGGCAUAAGGGAGCUUGACUGUAAGACCUACAAGUCGAACAGAGACGAAAGUCGGCCUUAGUGAUCCGACAGUUCCGAGUGGAAGGGCUGUCGCUCAACGGAUAAAAGUUA
Molecule: ribosomal RNA, 370 nt
Filed under: Kumanoa australica
Lineage: Eukaryota; Rhodophyta; Florideophyceae; Batrachospermales; Batrachospermaceae
Description: bacterial LSU rRNA
Rfam family: Bacterial large subunit ribosomal RNA
Source: RNAcentral